CCUAGCUGAUGAGUCCCAAAUGAGACGAAACGUGCGUCAUGAGC
RNAcentral lists this non-coding RNA (44 nucleotides) under Schistosoma mansoni. The record is from RNAcentral. Lineage: Eukaryota; Metazoa; Platyhelminthes; Trematoda; Strigeidida; Schistosomatidae.